Molecule: ribosomal RNA, 496 nt
Filed under: uncultured bacterium
Lineage: Bacteria
Description: partial 16S ribosomal RNA
Rfam family: Bacterial small subunit ribosomal RNA
Source: RNAcentral
GACGAACGCUGGCGGCGUGCCUAAUACAUGCAAGUUGAGCGCUGAAGGUUGGUACUUGUACCAACUGGAUGAGCAGCGAACGGGUGAGUAACGCGUGGGGAUCUUCCUUUUAGCGGGGGGCAACAUUUGGGAACGAAUUCUUAUACCGGAUUAAAAAUUUAAACACAAGGUUUAAGGUUUAAAAAUUCAAUUUCAUUACCCAAAGGUUAUUCCGCGUUUUAUUAGCUAGUUGGUGAGGUAAAGGCUCACCAAGGCGAUGAUACAUAGCCGACCUGAGAGGGUGAUCGGCCACAUUGGGACUGAGACACGGCCCAAACUCCUACGGGAGGCAGCAGUAGGGAAUCUUCGGCAAUGGACGAAAGUCUGACCGAGCAACGCCGCGUGAGUGAAGAAGGUUUUCGGAUCGUAAAACUCUGUUGGUAGAGAAGAACGUUGGUGAGAGUGGAAAGCUCAUCAAGUGACGGUAACUACCCAGAAAGGGACGGCUAACUACGUG